This 85-nucleotide transfer RNA is filed under the name Bacillota bacterium. RNAcentral describes it as "tRNA-Tyr". It matches the Rfam family "tRNA". Rfam says of the family: Transfer RNA (tRNA) molecules are approximately 80 nucleotides in length. Their secondary structure includes four short double-helical elements and three loops (D, anti-codon, and T loops). Lineage: Bacteria; Bacillati; Bacillota. The record is from RNAcentral.
GGAGGGGUACCGAAGCGGUCAAACGGGGCAGACUGUAAAUCUGUUGGCGCAGCCUUCGUAGGUUCGAAUCCUACCCCCUCCACCA